GAUGAACGCUGGCGGCGUGCUUAACACAUGCAAGUCGAACGGAAAGGCCCAAGCUUGCUUGGGUACUCGAGUGGCGAACGGGUGAGUAACACGUGGGUGAUCUGCCCUGCACUUCGGGAUAAGCCUGGGAAACUGGGUCUAAUACCGGAUAGGACCACAUUUUGGAUGGUGUGGUGGAAAGUUUUUCGGUGUGGGAUGAGCUCGCGGCCUAUCAGCUUGUUGGUGGGGUAAUGGCCUACCAAGGCGUCGGCGGGUAGCCGGCCUGAGAGGGUGUACGGCCACAUUGGGACUGAGAUACGGCCCAGACUCCUACGGGAGGCAGCAGUGGGGAAUAUUGCACAAUGGGCGCAAGCCUGAUGCAGCGACGCCGCGUGGGGGAUGACGGCCUUCGGGUUGUAAACUCCUUUCGCUAGGGACGAAGCGUUUUUGUGACGGUACCUGGAGAAGAAGCACCGGCUAACUACGUG
RNAcentral lists this ribosomal RNA (467 nucleotides) under uncultured bacterium. Its description in RNAcentral is "partial 16S ribosomal RNA". It matches the Rfam family "Bacterial small subunit ribosomal RNA", at positions 28 to 507 of the family's 1533-position model. The record is from RNAcentral.